UACUCUGGGGCAGUUCUGGGGUAGAUAUGCAAACCUCCUACAGCCAGCUCUUUCCCUAG
This 59-nucleotide microRNA precursor is filed under the name Mus pahari (shrew mouse). RNAcentral describes it as "microRNA 6954 (MGP_PahariEiJ_G0007001.1)". Lineage: Eukaryota; Metazoa; Chordata; Mammalia; Rodentia; Muridae. The record is from RNAcentral.